Molecule: ribosomal RNA, 397 nt
Filed under: uncultured bacterium
Lineage: Bacteria
Description: partial 16S ribosomal RNA
Rfam family: Bacterial small subunit ribosomal RNA
Source: RNAcentral
AUACGUCGGGUGCGAGCGUUGUCCGGAUUGAUUGGGCGUAAAGGGCGCGUAGGCGGCCUGUUAAGUCUGGAGUGAAAGUCCUGUUUUCAAGAUGGGAAUUGCUUUGGAUACUGUUGGGCUUGAGUGCCGGAGGGGUUAUCGGAAUUCCCGGCGUAGCGGUGAAAUGCGUAGAGAUCGGGAGGAACACCAUUGGCGAAGGCGGGUAACUGGACUGCAACUGACGCUGAGGCGCGAAAGUGUGGGGAGCAAACAGGAUUAGAUACCCUGGUAGUCCACACUGUAAACGAUGAAUGCUAGGUGUAAGAGGUAUCGACCCCUUUUGUGCCGGAGUUAACACAAUAAGCAUUCCGCCUGGGGAGUACGGCCGCAAGGUUGAAACUCAAAUGAAUUGACGGGG